GGCGGAAUAGCUCAGUUGGUUAGAGCAGCGGAAUCAUAAUCCGCGUGUCGGGGGUUCGAGUCCCUCUUCCGCUA
RNAcentral lists this transfer RNA (74 nucleotides) under Planctomycetaceae bacterium. RNAcentral describes it as "tRNA-Met". It matches the Rfam family "tRNA". Rfam says of the family: Transfer RNA (tRNA) molecules are approximately 80 nucleotides in length. Their secondary structure includes four short double-helical elements and three loops (D, anti-codon, and T loops). Further hydrogen bonds mediate the characteristic L-shaped molecular structure. tRNAs have two regions of fundamental functional importance: the anti-codon, which is responsible for specific mRNA codon recognition, and the 3' end, to which the tRNAs corresponding amino acid is attached (by aminoacyl-tRNA synthetases). tRNAs cope with the degeneracy of the genetic code in two manners: having more than one tRNA (with a specific anti-codon) for a particular amino acid; and 'wobble' base-pairing, i.e. permitting non-standard base-pairing at the 3rd anti-codon position. RNAcentral also lists the same sequence under 3 other names. The record is from RNAcentral. Lineage: Bacteria; Pseudomonadati; Planctomycetota; Planctomycetia; Planctomycetales; Planctomycetaceae.